AUGCUUCCUAAACUUAAAGAGCAUGCCUUCUAUCAACUCACCCAAGGUAAUGUUUCUAUUUGGAGCAUGCCUUGGUGCAAUCUUUGGAACUCUAUUCAUGAUUUUCUCAUUCCUCAACCAUCAGGCUUUAUUUAUCCCUCCUUGGUUAGGGAUCCUUGGCAGCCUGGGCAAAGGCAAUGGAACCGUCAGGUCAUUUUCUCUCUUUUUCAGCAACCUUUGGCUACUCAGAUUAUCAACAUUGAUAUUCUUGAGGAUGAUAAUGCUGAUAUUCUUUGUUGGCCUUUGGCUCCCAAUGGUAUUUGCUCUUCCAAAGCUGCUUAUAAACUUUGCUUACAAGACAUUCAUACUAAUCCUAGAACUGCUCCUCUAGAUGUUCCUUUGGAUUUGAAAGCUUUUCUUAAAACUAUUUGGAAGCAGAAAGAUUUAUUGCCCAAGGUUAAAACUUUUGCUUGGAGGAUGCUUAGCAAAGCUUUGCCCAUAGGAAUGAGAGCAGGCCGUUUUUCUAUUCACAUUUCGCAGAACUGUUGUAGAUGUGCUUAG
RNAcentral lists this ribosomal RNA (540 nucleotides) under Triticum aestivum (bread wheat). Its description in RNAcentral is "partial small subunit ribosomal RNA". The record is from RNAcentral. Lineage: Eukaryota; Viridiplantae; Streptophyta; Magnoliopsida; Poales; Poaceae.